Paramisgurnus dabryanus is the source of this 454-nucleotide long non-coding RNA. RefSeq lists it as uncharacterized. Lineage: Eukaryota; Metazoa; Chordata; Actinopteri; Cypriniformes; Cobitidae. The record is from RefSeq and is a predicted model, not a curated record.
UCUGUUUGCAAACUCUUGUUUCAUCGUUUAAGCGAUUAAAUCUCUCAAGUAGACACUGUCUCUUUAGAUGUGAGGGCAAAAUAGCACUUUAUGGACUUCCACAGAGGACAUCAUGUUUAAUACGGUUCCGGAAAAAUCCAGUCAGAAGUUGUUCACGGAGUUUUCACAAUAACUGCUUCUCAUGAACCGAAGCUGGAUUUGCGCGACGUCUCCUCCUGAAAGUUGGAUUACCGUGCACUUCUGGAUCACAGGCUAUUCGCAGCUGGACACAUCCUUCUACACUGUAUGCAAACAUGCAACAUCAUUACACACAGUACAAGGAGUUAGACUGGCAUAUGAGGAGCAAAGGAACCCAGGCAGUAGCAUCGUUUCACAAUGUUUCCAUCACCAUCAUCAGUGGAUGCCUUUGCCGUCCGUAGCCUGAGAUUUCAGAUUUGCAGCAAAAAAUUAGAUU